This 303-nucleotide ribosomal RNA is filed under the name uncultured bacterium. RNAcentral describes it as "partial 16S ribosomal RNA". It matches the Rfam family "Bacterial small subunit ribosomal RNA", at positions 507 to 807 of the family's 1533-position model. The record is from RNAcentral.
AGCAGUCGCCGCGGUAAAACGGAGGGUGCAAGCGUUAAUCGGAAUUACUGGGCGUAAAGCGCACGCAGGCGGUCUGACAAGUCAGAUGUGAAAUCCCCGGGCUUAACCUGGGAACUGCAUUUGAAACUGUCAGGCUGGAGUCUUGUAGAGGGGGGUGGAAUUCCAGGUGUAGCGGUGAAAUGCGUAGAGAUCUGGAGGAAUACCGGUGGCGAAGGCGGCCCCCUGGACAAAGACUGACGCUCAGGUGCGAAAGCGUGGGGAGCAAACAGGAUUAGAUACCCCAGUAGUCCCUGUCUCUUAUAC